RNAcentral lists this transfer RNA (58 nucleotides) under Urocitellus parryii (Arctic ground squirrel). RNAcentral describes it as "Spermophilus parryii (Arctic ground squirrel) tRNA". It matches the Rfam family "tRNA", at positions 8 to 63 of the family's 71-position model. Rfam says of the family: Transfer RNA (tRNA) molecules are approximately 80 nucleotides in length. The record is from Rfam by way of RNAcentral. RNAcentral also lists the same sequence under 2 other names. Lineage: Eukaryota; Metazoa; Chordata; Mammalia; Rodentia; Sciuridae.
UGGCUCAGUUGGUAGAGCACUUGCCUUGCAUGCACAAGGCUCUGGGUUCAAUCCCCAG